CGGGCACACGCACGUCACGCAGCCUGCAGAGAGCAUAGAGAUUCAAUCCAAUGAUCGGCCUCUCUCCCUGUCUCCUCUCAGCUUCUAUCUAGGCUCUCUCGCUCGCUCACUCACAGUUGUGGCAGUCGUCGAAGCAGUUGCAGAGCCCGGUGGACCAGGCGGCGACGGGCGCCUGCGCCUGCACCGCGAACGCCGCCGCCAUCGCGCCGCCCGCCUGGUAGUAGCCGCCGCCGCCGCUGAAGGGGAUGCCCGUGGCCAGCGGCUGCGCACCUUCGUCUGCCGCCUUGGGAUACAUGGUGGAGCCGUGGAGGCGAGUCCAGACUCCAGAGAGACCGAGAGCUAGCGGAGCCCAGCGUUGGGCUUUUUAUUUAUUGCCUUGUGCGCG
RNAcentral lists this unclassified non-coding RNA (385 nucleotides) under Zea mays. RNAcentral's name for it is "misc RNA Zm00001eb183230". The record is from RNAcentral. Lineage: Eukaryota; Viridiplantae; Streptophyta; Magnoliopsida; Poales; Poaceae.